This 253-nucleotide ribosomal RNA is filed under the name uncultured bacterium. Its description in RNAcentral is "partial 16S ribosomal RNA". It matches the Rfam family "Bacterial small subunit ribosomal RNA", at positions 524 to 776 of the family's 1533-position model. The record is from RNAcentral.
UACGGAGGGGGCUAGCGUUGUUCGGAAUUACUGGGCGUAAAGCGCACGUAGGCGGAUCUUUAAGUCAGGGGUGAAAUCCCGAGGCUCAACCUCGGAACUGCCUUUGAUACUGGGGAUCUCGAGUCCGGGAGAGGUGAGUGGAACUGCGAGUGUAGAGGUGAAAUUCGUAGAUAUUCGCAAGAACACCAGUGGCGAAGGCGGCUCACUGGCCCGGAACUGACGCUGAGGUGCGAAAGCGUGGGGAGCAAACAGG